RNAcentral lists this ribosomal RNA (253 nucleotides) under uncultured bacterium. RNAcentral's name for it is "partial 16S ribosomal RNA". It matches the Rfam family "Bacterial small subunit ribosomal RNA", at positions 524 to 776 of the family's 1533-position model. The record is from RNAcentral.
UACGGGGGAGCAAGCGUUGUUCGGAUUUACUGGGCGUAAAGGGCGCGUAGGCGGCCAGCGCAAGUCAGUUGUGAAAUCUCCGGGCUUAACUCGGAACGGUCAACUGAUACUGCGCGGCUAGAGUGCAGAAGGGGCAACUGGAAUUCUCGGUGUAGCGGUGAAAUGCGUAGAUAUCGAGAGGAACACCUGCGGCGAAGGCGGGUUGCUGGGCUGACACUGACGCUGAUGCGCGAAAGCCAGGGGAGCGAACGGG